This 522-nucleotide ribosomal RNA is filed under the name Triticum aestivum (bread wheat). Its description in RNAcentral is "partial small subunit ribosomal RNA". The record is from RNAcentral. Lineage: Eukaryota; Viridiplantae; Streptophyta; Magnoliopsida; Poales; Poaceae.
AUGAAGGAACGGUAUGAGGCUGAACUGAGCAAAAGAGAAAACCAAACCGCUGAUCUGCGGGAGAACCUCCGAUCCCAACAAGCCGAAACCUCCAAAGCCAAGGAAGAAUUAAUCAGCGCUCUAGGCGCUAUGGAGAAACUUAAAGAGGGCUUCAACAAGGAGCGGGCGGAUUGGGAGACUGAAAAGUCCGCUUUGACAAAAAGGGCUGAAAACGCCGAAGCAGCUCUUAAACCGGUGGUUGAUGAGCUAACCAGUGUACAGCGGCAGGUUCAUGCCAUGACUGCUGCGGUGUUCGGAACUCGUAUUAGCCAUCUAGGCUCAGAUGUACAGAAGAAGCUGAAAGCAGCCUACACUCUAAUAGAGCAGCUGUGUACCGGUGCCCAACGGAUCAUCUGCACUGCUUCACAUAACAAUCCUCCUCCUACCUUGAUCAAGGAUACCUUAGAAAGGUUAUCUAUGCUUCCUGCCCGGGUUGACGAGCUAAAAAGUCUGCCGCUAGAACGGGCGCUUUGGCCGCCCUGA